CAUAGUUUUCUGUUAUGAAUUGAUUCAUCUUCCCGAAUAUUUUGCGGGAUUACCCUUGUUUAGAUUGUUCUUCUUAGCGUUUGAGUAUAUCCUUUGUAUUUAGGUGGCGUUGUAUUUGACCUCUUUCAUCUUCCCAAAUUUAGGGUGGAAUGUUUCUGAGUCCAACAAGAUUUGAGUGAAGAUCUAUGCUUUAAGAUGAAUUUAUUUUAGAUUAGAUGCAAUACUUGAGAUAUCUCAACAUUACUUUGUAUAGUAGUUGCCAAUUCUUGUUAGCUUUAAAGUGUUCGGUUGUUGAAAAUCAAUGCAUUGUGCAUCAAAGAUCGUGAGAAGUUUAAUUAAGGAUGAGUCUUGUGCAUGAGUAAUUCUAUACAUAGUCAUCCCAUGUGAUUGUUUGUUAUUUGAGGCAAUAUUAUUUAUUGGAAAUUAAUGCUUCAAAUAACAAGUUGCCACACUGCUAUAAUAUGAAAUCAUUCUUCAAAAAUGUGGUGUUUGUAUGUAUGAACAUGCCUAGUAUCUUUUUGAUCUGGAAUCCAAGUAUCUUUGCUAUACUGUUUAUAUCAAAAGUUCAUUUUCAAUCUCUGUUUCCUAUUGAUCUGUUUGUUGCAUGUACAAACAGUUGCAACCACCUUUAAGUGUAGCCAUCUGAUGGUCAAUACAUGGAAAAACUUGAGGAAUAUAGCAAUAUUCCUCUACGUGUGUCAUUUAUAUCUUGUAUGGCCUCGAAUAUUUGUGGAAAAUAUGUUCAAAAUUUCAUUUAUUAUUAUGUUCCAGUUUGUAAGCUCAAACGUGCGUAGCCUUGAAAUGUUGAGAAAUGAUGAACUGCUUUUGAUUUCUCACAACGGGAAACUUCUCAAGUAUUAAAUUUAUCAAGGUGUUUUAAUAGUGGUGUCAGUUUCUCACAAGAAUUGAAACGUUAGAUGUUUGGGAAGUGAUUAAAUUAAACUAAAUUCUUAUAAGCUGUGAAUUCUUAGAAAUAUGUGAAUAAGUGGGUAUGGUAUUCAUGUGAUGUGAUCAAAUUGAUGUCACGAUUAAUACUAGCAGUG
RNAcentral lists this long non-coding RNA (1043 nucleotides) under Olea europaea subsp. europaea. Lineage: Eukaryota; Viridiplantae; Streptophyta; Magnoliopsida; Lamiales; Oleaceae. The record is from RNAcentral.